This 610-nucleotide long non-coding RNA is filed under the name Phasianus colchicus (ring-necked pheasant). RNAcentral describes it as "lncRNA (ENSPCLG00000004361.1)". The record is from RNAcentral. Lineage: Eukaryota; Metazoa; Chordata; Aves; Galliformes; Phasianidae.
UGCUUCCUAAGCUGAGGGCGGGUUCCCUCCAGCUCGACGAACAGGAAUGGGCGGGAGCCGGCAGCGGGCUGAGCGAUGGCUUGUGCUGGGAUAUUGGCAACUCCCAUUUGUCGUGAUGUCCCAUCGGAUGGCUAAACCAAGACAUAGAACUGUGCCCAGCACCCUGUGAGAGGCACAGCCCCAGGUGAGGACCAAAGUGCAUGUCCUUGUCUGCCACUAGUGAGCACGGAGGGCUGGAGGAUAGCCCCUUGCCUAUGGCCUUCUUUGCCAGGUGGUUAUGUUUACAUGCUCUGCUGAAAGAGAGUUAUAAUGGCAUUUAGGUCUUCAGUGUUUUUUCAGUCCCAGAGAAGGAGCAGUUUUUCAAUGGAGCAAUCGGUCUGAGCUGAACAUGAUGUUGGAGAAAUGCCCUUCCUUCUUGAAUGCCAGUGCUUAAAUUCAUCUAAAAACUGCUCUACCUUUACAAAUAAGGUAUGAUUACAGCAGCCAGGGUGUACUGGAUGCACCUUUCCUUUGUUAAUAUGUAGACAAAUUGUCUUUACCCUGUGCCGAAUUCACUAUUACACUGUGCUGAGCUGAAACUUAAUUGAAAUAAAUAUUGUUCUUCCCAGCA